AUGCGUAGAUAUCGGGAGGAACACCAGUGGCGAAGNCGGCCUCCUGGNCUGUUCCUGACGCUGAAGGCGAAAGCUAGGGUAGCGAACGGGAUUAGAAACCCCGGUAGUCCUANCUGUAAACGAUGGAUGCUAGAUGUAGGGGGUAUAGAUUCCCUCUGUGUCGCAGUUAACGCGUUAAGCAUCCCGCCUGGGGAGUACGGUCGCAAGGCUAAAACUCAAACGAAUUGACGGGGGCCCGCACAAGCAGCGGAGCGUGUGGUUUAAUUCGAUGCUACACGAAGAACCUUACCUGGGCUUGACAUGUAUGUGGUAGUGAAGUGAAAGCGGAUCGACCCUUCGGGGAGCAUACACAGGUGCUGCAUGGCUGUCGUCAGCUCGUGCCGUGAGGUGUCGGGUUAAGUCCCGUAACGAGCGCAACCCCUGUCCUUAGUUACAAGUGUCUAGGGAGACUGCCGNCGGUAAGCCGGAGGAAGGUGGGGAUGACGUCAAGUCAGCAUGGCCUUUAUGUCCAGGGCUACACACACGCUACAAUGGCCGGUACAAUGGGUUGCCAAACCGUGAGGUGGAGCCAAUCCCGUAAAGCCGGUCUCAGUUCGAAUUGUAGACUGCAACUCGUCUACAUGAAGUCGGAGUUGCUAGUAAUCGCGGAUCAGCAUGCCGCGGUGAAUAUGUUCCCGGGCAUUGACACACCGCCCGUCACGUCAUGGAAGCUGCAACACCUGAAGCC
This 727-nucleotide ribosomal RNA is filed under the name uncultured organism. RNAcentral's name for it is "bacterial SSU rRNA". It matches the Rfam family "Bacterial small subunit ribosomal RNA", at positions 686 to 1428 of the family's 1533-position model. The record is from RNAcentral.